CUUUUACAAUGAAGAGUUUGAUCCUGGCUCAGGAUGAACGCUAGCUACAGGCUUAACACAUGCAAGUCGAGGGGCAGCAUUUCAGUUUGCUUGCAAACUGGAGAUGGCGACCGGCGCACGGGUGAGUAACACGUAUCCAACCUGCCGAUAACUCGGGGAUAGCCUUUCGAAAGAAAGAUUAAUACCCGAUGGUAUAAUCAGACCGCAUGGUUUUAUUAUUAAAGAAUUUCGGUUAUCGAUGGGGAUGCGUUCCAUUAGGCAGUUGGUGAGGUAACGGCUCACCAAACCUUCGAUGGAUAGGGGUUCUGAGAGGAAGGUCCCCCACAUUGGAACUGAGACACGGUCCAAACUCCUACGGGAGGCAGCAGUGAGGAAUAUUGGUCAAUGGGCGCAGGCCUGAACCAGCCAAGUAGCGUGAAGGAUGACUGCCCUAUGGGUUGUAAACUUCUUUUAUAUGGGAAUAAAGUUUUCCACGUGUGGAAUUUUGUAUGUACCAUAUGAAUAAGGAUCGGCUAACUCCGUGCCAGCAGCCGCGGUAAUACGGAGGAUCCGAGCGUUAUCCGGAUUUAUUGGGUUUAAAGGGAGCGUAGGUGGACAGUUAAGUCAGUUGUGAAAGUUUGCGGCUCAACCGUAAAAUUGCAGUUGAUACUGGCUGUCUUGAGUACAGUAGAGGUGGGCGGAAUUCGUGGUGUAGCGGUGAAAUGCUUAGAUAUCACGAAGAACUCCGAUUGCGAAGGCAGCUCACUGGACUGCAACUGACACUGAUGCUCGAAAGUGUGGGUAUCAAACAGGAUUAGAUACCCUGGUAGUCCACACAGUAAACGAUGAAUACUCGCUGUUUGCGAUAUACAGUAAGCGGCCAAGCGAAAGCAUUAAGUAUUCCACCUGGGGAGUACGCCGGCAACGGUGAAACUCAAAGGAAUUGACGGGGGCCCGCACAAGCGGAGGAACAUGUGGUUUAAUUCGAUGAUACGCGAGGAACCUUACCCGGGCUUAAAUUGCAUUUGAAUAAUCUGGAAACAGGUUAGCCGCAAGGCAAAUGUGAAGGUGCUGCAUGGUUGUCGUCAGCUCGUGCCGUGAGGUGUCGGCUUAAGUGCCAUAACGAGCGCAACCCUUAUCUUUAGUUACUAACAGGUCAUGCUGAGGACUCUAGAGAGACUGCCGUCGUAAGAUGUGAGGAAGGUGGGGAUGACGUCAAAUCAGCACGGCCCUUACGUCCGGGGCUACACACGUGUUACAAUGGGGGGUACAGAAGGCAGCUACCUGGUGACAGGAUGCUAAUCCCAAAAGCCUCUCUCAGUUCGGAUCGAAGUCUGCAACCCGACUUCGUGAAGCUGGAUUCGCUAGUAAUCGCGCAUCAGCCAUGGCGCGGUGAAUACGUUCCCGGGCCUUGUACACACCGCCCGUCAAGCCAUGAAAGCCGGGGGUACCUGAAGUACGUAACCGCAAGGAGCGUCCUAGGGUAAAACUGGUAAUUGGGGCUAAGUCGUAACAAGGUAGCCGUACCGGAAGGUGCGGCUGGAACACCUCCUUU
RNAcentral lists this ribosomal RNA (1534 nucleotides) under Bacteroides thetaiotaomicron. Its description in RNAcentral is "bacterial SSU rRNA". It matches the Rfam family "Bacterial small subunit ribosomal RNA". Lineage: Bacteria; Pseudomonadati; Bacteroidota; Bacteroidia; Bacteroidales; Bacteroidaceae. The record is from RNAcentral.